Molecule: non-coding RNA, 125 nt
Organism: Triticum aestivum (bread wheat)
Lineage: Eukaryota; Viridiplantae; Streptophyta; Magnoliopsida; Poales; Poaceae
Source: Rfam
CAAAUACUACCCUUGUCUGGAAUUACUUGUUGCAGAAAUAAAUAAAAAUAGAUGUAUCUAGAACUAAAAUACGUCUAGAUACAUCCAUUUCUCCGGCAAGUAAUUUCGGACGGAGGGAGUAGUUG